Molecule: long non-coding RNA, 217 nt
Organism: Bufo bufo (common toad)
Lineage: Eukaryota; Metazoa; Chordata; Amphibia; Anura; Bufonidae
Exons: 2
Source: RefSeq, a predicted model, not a curated record
UAGAAAUAUUCAGUUAGGAGAAUAUCCAAUUAUGGAAGUUAUUGCUGAGAAACAGAGGGUAUUAUAAGAAAGCACAGAUGUGCGCACAGUGCUAGAGCUCAGGUACAAUACAGUUAUACAAUUACAUUGCAUACAUGGAGGUGACAUCACUGUGGCUCAGUGGUUAGCAGCACUGGUGCCUUGCUGCGCUGGGGUCCUAGGUUGAACUCCAACCAAG